GUAGGGAAUAUUGGGCAAUGGUCGGAAGACUGACCCAGCCAAGCCGCGUGCAGGAAGACGGCCCUCUGGGUUGUAAACUGCUUUUAUCUGGGAAGAAAAAGGCCAUGCGUGGCAAAUUGCCGGUACCAGAUGAAUAAGCACCGGCUAACUCCGUGCCAGCAGCCGCGGUAAUACGGAGGGUGCGAGCGUGGUCCGGAUUUAUUGGGGUUAAAGGGUGCGUAGGCGGCUGAUUAAGUCAGCGGUGAAAGACUGCGGCUUAACCGGAGCAGUGCCGUUGAUACUGGUUGGCUUGAGUGUCGGAGGGGUACAUGGAAUUGAUGGUGUAGCGGUGAAAUGCAUAGAUACCAUCAGGAACACCGAUAGCGAAGGCAUUGUACUGGCCGACAACUGACGCUGAUGCACGAAAGUGUGGGGAUCGAACAGGAUUAGAAACCCGUGUAGUCC
RNAcentral lists this ribosomal RNA (444 nucleotides) under uncultured bacterium. RNAcentral describes it as "partial 16S ribosomal RNA". It matches the Rfam family "Bacterial small subunit ribosomal RNA", at positions 354 to 796 of the family's 1533-position model. The record is from RNAcentral.